GGGGAAACCCUGACGCAGCGACGCCGCGUGUAGGAAGAAGGCUUCGGGUCGUAAACUACUGUCAAGAGGGAAGAAACUGUUUGGUUCGAAUAGGGCCAUUCACUGACGGUACCUCUAGAGGAAGCACCGGCUAACUCCGUGCCAGCAGCCGCGGUAAUACGGAGGGUGCGAGCGUUAAUCGGAAUCACUGGGCGUAAAGCGUGCGUAGGCGGCGCUUCAAGUCAGACGUGAAAGCCCUCGGCUCAACCGAGGAAUUGCGUUUGAAACUGAAGUGCUAGAGUCUCGGAGAGGUUGGCGGAAUUCCAGGUGUAGGAGUGAAAUCCGUAGAUAUCUGGAGGAACACCGGUGGCGAAGGCGGCCAACUGGACGAGAACUGACGCUGAGGUACGAAAGCGUGGGUAGCAAACAGGAUUAGAUACCCUGGUAGUCCACGCUGUAAACGAUGGAUAUUAGGUGUCGGGUUUUAAAUUCGGUGCCGCAGUUAACGCGUUAAAUAUCCCG
This 501-nucleotide ribosomal RNA is filed under the name uncultured delta proteobacterium. RNAcentral's name for it is "bacterial SSU rRNA". It matches the Rfam family "Bacterial small subunit ribosomal RNA", at positions 374 to 871 of the family's 1533-position model. The record is from RNAcentral. Lineage: Bacteria; Deltaproteobacteria.